RNAcentral lists this long non-coding RNA (1158 nucleotides) under Canis lupus familiaris (dog). Its description in RNAcentral is "lncRNA (ENSCAFG00030016394.1)". Lineage: Eukaryota; Metazoa; Chordata; Mammalia; Carnivora; Canidae. The record is from RNAcentral.
AUGCUUCCCGACACCCAGGUCUCCUCCCUCUGCACCUGUCGGGUGUCACAGGGGGAGCAUCGGCCAGGUGCGGUGGCUGCCGGGAGCACAGGUACAGGUGACGGUCUGGACGGCUUCGGGGAAGCUGAAACACUUCCCAUAGCUGAGCCCUCAGCGGCGGGCGCGCGGCUGCCACCACCCCCAGUCAGGAGGCCCCGCGACUUCACUUCUAAGGGCCACUGGGGGCGGAGGCCCUGCGCAAACGGGAUCAGCACCGUUUGUACUUUGUGUGCAUCACACAUUCUUACACAGGGGGAAACGGUAGAGGGUCAUGAGAGAAUGAGCCUGCAGGUCCUGCUGGGGAUGGAACUCUGCGGGGGUGGGGGGGGGGGGGGAUGGAGCAUGGAGCCCUGGGGGGGAUGGAGCCCUGCGGGGGGGGGGGGGGGGGGGGGGGGGGGUGGCGGUCCUGGAUGGCGCCCGCGCUCUCCGGGUGCAGCCGCGGGCCGGGCUCCCCGUCCUCCUCCCACGGACCCAAGGCGGGUGUCCCCGCGUCCCCGGCACCGUCCGUCCGCACAGGGGCCCCGGGGGCACCGGCGAGGAGGCCAGCGCUCCGGGCAGGGAGGGGGCCGCGGGGCCGGGCCGCGGGGUGGCGCAGUCGCUCACCCGGACAGCGGGGCACAUUGGACCGGCUGCUCCGAAGCCGCCAAGCAGCCGAGGUGGCCGCGCCCCAGGCCCCUGCCCCCCCGCCCGCUUCCCUGGCCCAGCCCAGGGCGCCCCGCCCUGGGUGGGGGCGACGGACACCCACGUGGGAGCCCGGGACCUGGGACCUGGAAACGUCGAGGCCCAGCGCCUCGCUGCUCCGCCUGGAGGCCCCGGGGCGGGGGGGCGCCGGGUCCUCAGGGUGACGAGGGGAGGCUCGGGGCACCGUCUGGGACGACGCCCCCCCCCCCCCCCCCCGAUGGCCCGAGACCCAGGGCGGCCGCACCUGGCCGUGCGCCCCGCGAGCCCCCCUCCCCCGAAGGCGCCGCCGGGCCGCACCGCCGGGUCGGGGCCGCUGUGCUUGGGGGUCCGCUCGCGCCCCUCGGACCCCCGGGGUGUGUUCUUGUGUCAAUAAACACAAAUGCAGGUUUACAGGAGCAUCAGCAUAAGUUUAAGGGUUUUAUUAUCAAAGUCUUGUAA